GGAUGUGCCUGCCUCGUGGCUUGCCUGAUUUGCACGGUGACUUGAUUACACGCUCGCAUUCAUGGUCACUUCCGAAGCGCUUUAGUGCCUUCCGUCCCUAAACCGCCAACAACCACGGCGGCUUCCCCCGCGGUUUGUCAGGCAUCUGCAGGUCCCGGAAGGGGCUUCGUCUUACCCGGGAUCCAC
Molecule: long non-coding RNA, 186 nt
Filed under: Vulpes vulpes (red fox)
Lineage: Eukaryota; Metazoa; Chordata; Mammalia; Carnivora; Canidae
Description: HOXA11 antisense RNA 1 conserved region 2 (ENSVVUG00000024781.1)
Rfam family: HOXA11 antisense RNA 1 conserved region 2
Source: RNAcentral